AUAAGGAUUGGAGGCUGGGUGUAUCCAAGCUGGAAAAUAAUGCCUGAGACAUGAGGUCUUAACUGUCGGGAGCCAGGUCUUCUGCUGGCAGGAAGGGUCACUUCUGUUAGGAAUGGAGACUGGACUCGGUUCUUUGAGCUUUUAAACGGGACGUUUUCAUCCACGUAUCCGUUCCCUCGAGAGGAGAAAAGUGACUCUUACAGCAAAAAGAUGGUUUUAGGGUUGCUGGUUUAUCUUCUUGAAAGUGGGAAGAUGUGAUAGGAGGCUUCAUCCCCCUCACCCAAAAGAUAAUAAUGAAAUACAAAUUGCCCAGCCAGUUUCAGGUCAACCAAUGCUUUUAAACUCCUUUGACUAACACACCCACUGCCUAGUUGCACCUUGGUAGAAGGAAGGAGGGACCUUAUUAAGCUUAGAAGGUGAUGAGUAAGGACUCUUCAGCAAGCCAUUGGUAUAGUUGAAACUAUGUGGGAGGAGAAAUACAGACAACCCUCCGGAUAGUGGAGGAGAGGGCAUAGGAUUUACUGUAGGGUAGACCUGGGCUGGUAUAGAUGUCAGCUUUGGAAUACAGUAGUCUAUGUGACUUGGGGGGAGUUAGUCUCUCCUAUCCAUAAAUAGGAACACGAAUUUGUUUUAUAGAAGAUUGUUAUGAGACUCCAAUGGGAUACCUGCAAUAACUGCAUAUUGUCUGGUCCUUAGAGGCAGUUGCUAUGUGCCAGUAAUAGAAAUAAAAUCAAUUGUGUUUCCUUUGAGGAAGUAGACAGCUGCCUUAGGUCAGCAGCAUUGAAUCAGGCUUGUGGCAUAUGCCCAGCCCUGUAGCAGGAACAUGCAUCUUGCUUACCCAGUUAUGCAAGGCUUUUGAGUUCCAUCCUCAACUAU
Molecule: long non-coding RNA, 876 nt
Filed under: Mus musculus (house mouse)
Lineage: Eukaryota; Metazoa; Chordata; Mammalia; Rodentia; Muridae
Description: long non-coding RNA chr2:28841110-28841986
Source: RNAcentral